This is a non-coding RNA of Pelobates cultripes (western spadefoot toad), 665 nucleotides long. Lineage: Eukaryota; Metazoa; Chordata; Amphibia; Anura; Pelobatidae. The record is from the annotation of a GenBank genome assembly.
GGAGGACUCAGUCCCUAUCCUACCCCACAAAAUCUCUCUUUCACACUACGCACACAAUGCUUCCCUAUACAUACACAGAAACACACCAUGCUUCCCUUACACACAGAUAAACACACCAUGCUUCCCUUACACACAGAGAAACAUACAAUGCAUCCAUUACACACAAAGACAAUGCAUCCUUUGCACACAUACACAGAAACACACAAUGCAUCCCUUACACACACACUGCUUCUCUUAGCACACACCAAAACACAAUGCACCCCUUACCUAUACAGAAACACACCUUGCAUCCCUUACACAUACACAGAUUAACACAAUGCAUCCCUUAAAUACAAACACACACUGCAUUCUAUCCCUUUCACAAAACACACUGCAUCACCUACACAAACUGGUAUCCCUAUACACUACAUUCCAUAAGCACACACUUUAGAUCCUCUACAAUAACACAUCCCAUACACACUCCACUCCCUGUGAGCGAACAUAUAGGUGGACUUAUGGGUGGGCCUUAUGGGCAUACUCACCAUCAGGCCCUGGGGCCCAGACCUUGAGCUGUGUAAGGGGCCCCCAAAAAAUGGAGCUGCUUCCGGUUCUCCCAGAACAUUGAAUUUUGUGACCACAGUUACAAACAGCCUCCAGAGAUCCGGUUCUACACCAGACCAGUGGAG